UACGAAGGGAGCUAGCGUUGUUCGGAAUCACUGGGCGUAAAGCGCACGUAGGCGGCUGUGUCAGUCAGGGGUGAAAUCCCGGAGCUCAACUUCGGAACUGCCUUUGAUACAGCACAUCUGGAGUCCGGAAGAGGUGGGUGGAAUUCCUAGUGUAGAGGUGAAAUUCGUAGAUAUUAGGAAGAACACCGGUGGCGAAGGCGGCCCACUGGUCCGGUACUGACGCUGAGGUGCGAAAGCGUGGGGAGCAAACAGG
This 253-nucleotide ribosomal RNA is filed under the name uncultured bacterium. RNAcentral's name for it is "partial 16S ribosomal RNA". It matches the Rfam family "Bacterial small subunit ribosomal RNA", at positions 524 to 776 of the family's 1533-position model. The record is from RNAcentral.